AUAACACUUAUUAUAAUAUUUCAUCAUAUUUAUGGGUUCAUACCUACUGUAAAUUGUAUAUGAACCAAAGCCACACUGAAAUACAUCUAGGAGGAUAUUUUAUCAGAAAUUACAUAUAAGUGGAAUUCCUCGUUUGGCUCAUACAUCUUAUAUGCAUACCAUUGCUUAUUAUUCAUAUUCUUGUUCGAAAUCAACAGCUUUUAAAUAAAAUAUAUAAGACGUUAGGUCACGCUAAAAGUAUAUGCUCAAAACAUGAGCGUUACUAGCUUCGCAUAUACAUUUCACCAAACCACUUGAUCGUAUCUUUUAUAUGCAUGCGUGUCAUAUUGAAGGAAUAAUUUCAGCUGUUUUUAUAAGCAGAGUGAGUGCUAGAGAAUAUAAAAGUUCAUUGGGUUCCUGUUGAAAUGUUUUCAAUUACGUUUUACAGCAUUAAUAACCAUCAUACUUAAGUAGUGAGUACUCUUCAAGCUGUUCCUAAACUUACAUAAAGUGAUAGUUAUAUUUUUUUUUCAAUAAAUUUCAGUGACUUUGCAACUUGUACGGAACCCAUGGCGAAACCAAUUAAAGGCCAUCUAUGUUAAACCUUCAUGGGGAAACUGCUAGAAGGACGAUUAAAUCAACGGGAGACUGAAAAUGUAGAAGUAAAAUUCUCGUCUUCUGGGCGAGACGAUUCCUCAAGGUCCGACAGGUCUAGUUUACUGUUUUGGGAGAAAAAUCUGUGUCCGUACUGUUUUUACGGAACCUGUGAACAUGAAUCAUAUUCAAUAAAAUGUUUUAAACUUGA
Long non-coding RNA from Aedes aegypti (yellow fever mosquito), 784 nucleotides. RefSeq lists it as uncharacterized. The record is from RefSeq and is a predicted model, not a curated record. The transcript is spliced from 2 exons. NCBI's taxonomy places the organism in Eukaryota, Metazoa, Arthropoda, Insecta, Diptera, Culicidae.